RNAcentral lists this long non-coding RNA (902 nucleotides) under Brassica napus (rape). RNAcentral describes it as "long non-coding RNA (BNAP_LNC025162)". The record is from RNAcentral. Lineage: Eukaryota; Viridiplantae; Streptophyta; Magnoliopsida; Brassicales; Brassicaceae.
GGUCGUACACGAUGGACAGGAACCUGUAGAACCAGUAGGCCUCCUUCUUGUGCUGGAUGAACCUAGGCUGCGCAGAUGGCCUUGACGCCGACACGCUGCUGCUGCUGCUGCUGCUGCAUCUUGUCGCCACGGAGAGUCUCCGCGUGGCUGUGUUUGAGACGAGACUCAGCGGAGGACUUGGUCUGGCGUGUAGAUUGGAAGCGGGGAAACCUAAUCCCUUGGGGAAGGUGAUGGCUCCGUUGAGCAUGAGAGAAGCCAUUGGUGAAGCGUGAAAUGCUUAUCAGAUCGGGUAGUUGGAAACGAGGCGCUUUAUCACCACUGAACGAGCAGGCCUUAAAUCAGAGUGAUGACUCGCAGCCACAUACCUUAUUUAUUUAUUAUUUGAUGUAAUUAUAAUAUCGUAACGUUGUUGUACGUUGCGAUUACCCAUUUUGAUGGCCUAUUGAAAAAUGGGAUGAAAUUUACAGUUCCAUGAUAGUUUUGGGCUUUAAUAACGUGACUUGAAGAAAAGAGGUCCAUAUCUGGUCGCGACGGAGAGUCUCCGCGUGGCUGUGUUUGAGACGAGACUCAGCGGAGGACUUGGUCUGGCGUGUAGAUUGGAAGCGGGGAAACCUAAUCCCUUGGGGAAGGUGAUGGCUCCGUUGAGCAUGAGAGAAGCCAUUGGUGAAGCGUGAAAUGCUUAUCAGAUCGGGUAGUUGGAAACGAGGCGCUUUAUCACCACUGAACGAGCAGGCCUUAAAUCAGAGUGAUGACUCGCAGCCACAUACCUUAUUUAUUUAUUAUUUGAUGUAAUUAUAAUAUCGUAACGUUGUUGUACGUUGCGAUUACCCAUUUUGAUGGCCUAUUGAAAAAUGGGAUGAAAUUUACAGUUCCAUGAUAGUUUUGGGCUUUAAUAACGUGAC